Non-coding RNA from Heterocephalus glaber (naked mole-rat), 726 nucleotides. Lineage: Eukaryota; Metazoa; Chordata; Mammalia; Rodentia; Bathyergidae. The record is from RefSeq and is a predicted model, not a curated record.
GUUCCACUAACUCCGGGACAAACUCUUUCGUGCAAAAGACACCAAACUCAUAUUCUUGGUGUAGAUGCCUUUGUGACGCUGCUCACCUUUUCCCCUGAAGGUGUCAAGUGAUCUCUACCAUAAACUCUACCCACCCUUCUGCAUGGCUGCUCAUGUAUCUUGACUAAAUUCUCUCAUCUAAGGCACAAGGGACCAAGGACCCAGCUUCCUCGUGGCAGCAGAGACCCUAGAGAUUAAUAACAAACCCAAAACCUUUUCGGAAACCUGCAGAGUAAUGAGGCCUGAGCUACAUUCUGGGGAUACUUCGGUUGCUUUGAUCAGGCAGAUGGUGUUCAGAAGGUGUGCGCUACAUCUGGGACCAGCAGUGUUCCCCGAUCUUCUCUCUUCACUUCUCCAGGCAGAGUUUUCAUAAGGACAGCUUGGAGCUCAGGUGCUUUCCCAGCUGUCAGGCGGCUGCUAUGCUAAUCGCUGUGCUAAUAAUCCACACCAGUGGUGGCCUGAGAAGUGGGAGGCAGACUGGCUUAUGGGUAGCAUUUGCAGGGACCCCAGAGUAUCCUGGCGACUGUGCUGGUAGAGAAGGGGAAGAAGAAAUGCUGUGUGUUAUUGCUCACCUGGAUCUGUGAAUUAGUGGCCCUGUGGUCUACAAGGCUUGCAGGAGAGAAAACUUGGGUACACGUUCAGCAGAAAUUGAGGAGAAGGAUUUUGGGAUACUCCAGAUUCAAUAAA